Long non-coding RNA from Chenopodium quinoa (quinoa), 135 nucleotides. RefSeq lists it as uncharacterized. Lineage: Eukaryota; Viridiplantae; Streptophyta; Magnoliopsida; Caryophyllales; Amaranthaceae. The record is from RefSeq and is a predicted model, not a curated record. The transcript is spliced from 3 exons.
ACGACAAGGAGAAAUGUUAAAAUGAAGACUAUUGUGAGCUUUUUUUUCACGAGGUUUAAGCUAAAUGGAAACAGUGUGAAUAGAAAAGAACCUCUAUGGAAACUUGUGAAGUGUGCUCAACAAAGAGGUGGUACC